This is a long non-coding RNA of Bombus terrestris (buff-tailed bumblebee), 872 nucleotides long. RefSeq lists it as uncharacterized. NCBI's taxonomy places the organism in Eukaryota, Metazoa, Arthropoda, Insecta, Hymenoptera, Apidae. The record is from RefSeq and is a predicted model, not a curated record. The transcript is spliced from 2 exons.
GGACCUGUUUAUAUAUAUGAUCAUAACCGAACCUGUAUACACGACCGUGAUGGCAACACUGCUUUUGCAUGCAUCGAAAGUCCUAUUUUAUUGCAGUGAAGGCAAUGGAAAUGAAAUAUAAAUAUUGGGAAUAAUAGAAAUAACAUAUGUAUAAACCUUUAGAAGGUAUUAAAGGUGUUUGCCUGUAUGUAAAAUAUUUACACUGUUUAAAGGGAAUGUAAAUGUACUGCAAAAUAAGUAAGAACUGAACUAUAGCUUCAAAAAUAAAUAAAUAAAAAUAUUUAAAAAAUGAAAUUGUCUAAAUGAAAGAGGUUAAGUGAAUAUAUAGCAUAAGUGAAGAUGAGCCAUGGAUAUAGGAAUAUAGGGAACGAGUAAUGACUGAGGGGUGCUGAAGCUAUUUCUGGGAAGCGGAGAACGUAGUUUUGGGGCCGCAUUGAUAAUUGGUCGUGGCAAACGCAAUCUCUUAAUCUCAUCGAGCAAGAGUAAAUUAGUGUAACUAGUUUUCUCCUUCUGACAUACAUCAUUGAGUCAGUCACUAAGUCACCAAUAACCAAUGUAGUUCCAAUUAUCACCUGAUCAUGUUCCCAGUUCCCUAGAAGUAACUUCACACUCCUUGCCUGAACUAGACAUUUAUGUUCGAUUCUUAUAUUCCUAUGUCCAUAAAUAGCUGAGCAAUAAGAAUAACUCACGAGAAAUAACUAGAAUUUUUGCAAAUAUGAACAAAAAUUUUCAUGUCAAUAUUUGUAAAACAUGAUAAAUUUCGCACACCACUUUAGAGGUAGCGCAUUAUCGUUUUUAAUUUUUAAUAAUAAUAUAAGUGCUAGGAUUUCAUAAUUCUUCAUUCCUUGGAAAUAAAAAAAACAGAAACACAA